This 789-nucleotide ribosomal RNA is filed under the name uncultured bacterium. RNAcentral describes it as "bacterial SSU rRNA". It matches the Rfam family "Bacterial small subunit ribosomal RNA", at positions 8 to 796 of the family's 1533-position model. The record is from RNAcentral.
AGAGUUUGAUCAUGGCUCAGGAUGAACGCUGGCGGCGUGCCUAACACAUGCAAGUCGAGCGAGAAAUUUAUAAACGAAACUUCGGUCUAGUGAAUAAAUGGAAAGCGGCGGACGGGUGAGUAACGCGUAGGCAACCUGCCCCUUACAGAGGGAUAGCCUCGGGAAACCGGGAUUAAAACCUCAUAACGCAAUUCAAACACAUGUUUGAGAUGCCAAAGAUUUAUCGGUAAGGGAUGGGCCUGCGUCUGAUUAGUUAGUUGGUGGGGUAACGGCCUACCAAGGCGACGAUCAGUAGCCGACCUGAGAGGGUAAUCGGCCACAUUGGAACUGAGACACGGUCCAAACUCCUACGGGAGGCAGCAGUGGGGAAUAUUGCACAAUGGGCGAAAGCCUGAUGCAGCAACGCCGCGUGAGCGAAGAAGGCCUUUGGGUCGUAAAGCUCUGUUGGAAGGGAAGAAACAAAUGACGGUACCUUCUGAGGAAGCCCCGGCUAACUACGUGCCAGCAGCCGCGGUAAUACGUAGGGGGCAAGCGUUAUCCGGAAUUAUUGGGCGUAAAGAGUGCGUAGGUGGUCUUGUAAGCGUGGGGUGAAAGGCAGUGGCUUAACCAUUGUAAGCCCUGCGAACUGUGAGACUUGAGUGCAGGAGAGGAAAGCGGAAUUCCUAGUGUAGCGGUGAAAUGCGUAGAUAUUAGGAGGAACACCAGUGGCGAAGGCGGCUUUCUGGACUGUAACUGACACUGAGGCACGAAAGCGUGGGGAGCAAACAGGAUUAGAUACCCUAGUAGUCC